GACGAACGCUGGCGGCGUGCCUAAUACAUGCAAGUAGAACGCUGAAGAGAGGAGCUUGCUCUUCUUGGAUGAGUUGCGAACGGGUGAGUAACGCGUAGGUAACCUGCCUUGUAGCGGGGGAUAACUAUUGGAAACGAUAGCUAAUACCGCAUAACAAUGGAUGACACAUGUCAUUUAUUUGAAAGGGGCAAUUGCUCCACUACAAGAUGGACCUGCGUUGUAUUAGCUAGUAGGUGAGGUAACGGCUCACCUAGGCGACGAUACAUAGCCGACCUGAGAGGGUGAUCGGCCACACUGGGACUGAGACACGGCCCAGACUCCUACGGGAGGCAGCAGUAGGGAAUCUUCGGCAAUGGGGGCAACCCUGACCGAGCAACGCCGCGUGAGUGAAGAAGGUUUUCGGAUCGUAAAGCUCUGUUGUAAGUCAAGAACGAGUGUGAGAGUGGAAAGUUCACACUGUGACGGUAGCUUACCAGAAAGGGACGGCUAACUACGUGCCAGCAGCCGCGGUAAUACGUAGGUCCCGAGCGUUGUCCGGAUUUAUUGGGCGUAAAGCGAGCGCAGGCGGUUUGAUAAGUCUGAAGUUAAAGGCUGUGGCUCAACCAUAGUUCGCUUUGGAAACUGUCAAACUUGAGUGCAGAAGGGGAGAGUGGAAUUCCAUGUGUAGCGGUGAAAUGCGUAGAUAUAUGGAGGAACACCGGUGGCGAAAGCGGCUCUCUGGUCUGUAACUGACGCUGAGGCUCGAAAGCGUGGGGAGCGAACAGGAUUAGAUACCCUGGUAGUCCACGCCGUAAACGAUGAGUGCUAGGUGUUGGAUCCUUUCCGGGAUUCAGUGCCGCAGCCAACGCAUUAAGCACUCCGCCUGGGGAGUACGACCGCAAGGUUGAAACUCAAAGGAAUUGACGGGGGCCCGCACAAGCGGUGGAGCAUGUGGUUUAAUUCGAAGCAACGCGAAGAACCUUACCAGGUCUUGACAUCCCGAUGCUAUUUCUAGAGAUAGAAAGUUACUUCGGUACAUCGGUGACAGGUGGUGCAUGGUUGUCGUCAGCUCGUGUCGUGAGAUGUUGGGUUAAGUCCCGCAACGAGCGCAACCCCUAUUGUUAGUUGCCAUCAUUCAGUUGGGCACUCUAGCGAGACUGCCGGUAAUAAACCGGAGGAAGGUGGGGAUGACGUCAAAUCAUCAUGCCCCUUAUGACCUGGGCUACACACGUGCUACAAUGGUUGGUACAACGAGUUGCGAGUCGGUGACGGCAAGCUAAUCUCUUAAAGCCAAUCUCAGUUCGGAUUGUAGGCUGCAACUCGCCUACAUGAAGUCGGAAUCGCUAGUAAUCGCGGAUCAGCACGCCGCGGUGAAUACGUUCCCGGGCCU
RNAcentral lists this ribosomal RNA (1369 nucleotides) under uncultured bacterium. RNAcentral's name for it is "bacterial SSU rRNA". It matches the Rfam family "Bacterial small subunit ribosomal RNA", at positions 28 to 1381 of the family's 1533-position model. The record is from RNAcentral.